GCCCGUUUACUCCCUAAUUAUUUAUCUUAGCCUCUCUUUUCGUUAUCAGUUCAAAAUUCGUUAUCUUUCUCAUUCAUUCUACUCUUUAGAUCCGAGCAGAAAUUUUUUUUCUUAUCAAAAGUCUUGUGAUAUAUGAUAUACGUAAAAAAGAACAUCUUUUAGCAAAGGAUUCCCAUUUUAAAUUUAAAUGAUUCAAAUUUUUGUCUUUUUUAAUUGAUAUAGAACUAAGUCCUCGAGUAAAAUGAGGAUGAU
RNAcentral lists this unclassified non-coding RNA (252 nucleotides) under Tribulus terrestris. Its description in RNAcentral is "partial trnL-trnF intergenic spacer". Lineage: Eukaryota; Viridiplantae; Streptophyta; Magnoliopsida; Zygophyllales; Zygophyllaceae. The record is from RNAcentral.